UGUGGUAGGAUAGAUUGUUUGAAUUUCUCUUUCAAUGUAAACUCUGUGCCAAGGGGUGCUCUGUACAGGCCCUGCCCGGGUAAUUGCUUAGAUCCGUGUACUGUACCUUUAAGGUCCAGGGGCGUUCUGUAAACUCCAGCGGUGAGCUACUUUGAGACAUGCUGUGAGAGAGGUGAAGCGUCCUGCUCUGCUACUUCUAAGUUCUUCGAAACUUGUAGAAAGAGACACUCAGUAGGAUAACUCCGAACUAGGCACGGAUUUGGAGAAACCCCCGGGUUUUAUCUCAGGUGCCAGAGGCUGGAUCGCUAACGGGCUGCACGUGCAAAGGAAGCUGAAUGGGGCUUGUAAACUUCUAAAGGCUUCUCUAUCACCACUACCUCAAUCUGUCUACUUUAUUUCCCUGCACCCUUUUAAAAUAAACAAACACAUAGAUCGUCACGUGGAAUUGGAACGACACUGCUAAAUUAUGGAAGAUUUUUUGGCUGGCUGGAUCGGGGGUGCUACAAGUGUUAUUGUGGGUCAUCCUCUGGACACAGUUAAGACUCGCUUGCAAGCUGGAACAGGAUAUGGAAACACAUUAAAUUGUGUUCUCACUGUGUAUAAAAAAGAAAGUGUGACUGGGUUCUUUAAAGGAAUGUCUUUUCCACUGGCAAGCAUUGCUGUCUACAGCUCUGUGGUGUUUGGUGUCUUCAGCAAUACUCAGAAGUUCCUUACACAGUACCGCUCUGGAGAGUCUAGUCACUCACCCUCCCUGUCAGAUCUAAUUCUGGCUAGCAUGCUGUCAGGCGUGGUUUCAGUAGGACUUGGAGGUCCUGUGGACCUGAUUAAGAUAAGACUACAGAUGCAAACACAGCCCUUUCUUAAAGCAAACCUCCAUUUGAAGCCCAGACCAAAGGAUCUUUGGGACCAGCCUAAGUACCAGGGGCCUAUUCACUGCAUGACAUCAAUUAUCCGGAAUGAGGGCUUAGUGGGUCUCUACCGGGGGGCCAAUGCCAUGCUUCUAAGAGAUGUCCCAGGUUAUUGCCUCUACUUCAUCCCUUAUGUGUUUAUCUACGAAUGGAUCACUCCAGAGAACUACACAACCUCCAAUCCCUAUACAGUGUGGUUGGCAGGGGGCAUUGCAGGAGCAAUUUCUUGGGGAACUGCAACUCCCAUGGAUGUUGUAAAAAGUCGACUCCAAGCUGAUGGAGUGUAUUGCAAUAAGUACAAGGGGGUCAUGGAUUGUAUCUCCCAGAGCUACCAAAAGGAAGGACUUAAAAAGGGAAGAAAAAAAGUGUUGAAACAAAUAUGCAUAGGUAUUUUUCAGAGGAAUCACUGUGAAUACCAUUCGGGGGUUCCCAAUGAGUGCCACCAUGUUUCUUGGAUAUGAACUUUCACUUCGGAUAUUGAGGAGAGACCAAACAGUGACAAAUCCCUGAGCUCCAGUCAACUUCUUUCUUCCCCAUUUGUUUAUGCAGAGAAUAGAGCCUCCAAACCCACCAGAGCAAGCUAAAAGAAUACAGAAAUAAGAAUCCAGGUUGGACUUUGCAGCCAGUACAAAUCCAAGUUUUCCCAAAAGUUAAUUUCCAAAGUCUUCCCAGGUUUUUCUGAAACCAUUCUGGUCAUUAUUUCUUAUAGUACAGUAGUAUUCCAUUACAAUCAUAUGUCAUGACUUGUUUAGCCAUUUUCUAAUUUAUGGGUGUUCCUCAGUUUCCAACUUUUGACAUCAUAAAAAGAGUUGCUGGUGUUUCUACUGGAUUUAUAUCCCAAAGAAAUCACAAAAAAGAGAAAAGGAUCACAUGUGCAAAAAUGUAUGUAGCAGUCCUUAUUAUAGUGAUAAGGAAUGAGAAACUGAGUGGAUGCCCAUUAAUUGGUAAAUGGCUGAAUAAGUUAUUGUAUAUGACUGUAAUGGAAUAUGAUUGUUUUACAAGAAAUAACCAGAAGGAUGAGUUCAGAAAGGCCUGGAGAGACUUACAUGAACAUGAUGCUAAGUGAAAUAAGUAGAAAAGAAUAUCGCACACAACAAGAAGAUUAUGUGAUGAUUAAUUGUGAUGGACAUGGCCCUUUUCAAUAAUGAGGUGAUUCAGGGCAAUUCCAAUAGUCUUGUGAUGAAAAGAACCAUCUGCAUUCAGCAAAAGGAUUCUGAGAAUUGAAUGUGGAUCACAAUAUAAUAUUUUCACUUUUGUUGUUGUUAUUGUUUGUGUGCUUGUUUUUUCUUUCUUUCUUAUUUUUCCCCCUUUUGAUCUGAUUUUUCUUGUGCAACAUGAUAAAUGUAGAACUAUGUUUAGAAGAAUUGCAUGUUUAAUCUAUAUUGGAUUAGUUCCUGUCUAGAGAAGGGAGAGAGAAAAAUUUGCAACACAAGGUUUUGUAAGGGUUGAUGUUGAAAACUAUCUUUGCAAAUAUUUUGAAAAAUAAAAAACUAUGAUUAAAAAAAAACAAAGAGAGCUGCUAUAAAUAAUUUUGUACAGAUAAGUUGUUUUCCUUUUUCUUUGAUUUCUUUAGUUAUAGACCUAGUACUGAUAUAGCUGGAUCAAAGGGUAUGCAUGAUUUUAGACAAAGUUUCAAAUUGUUUUCCAGAUAGACCAGUUUACAACUUUAUCAACAGUGGAUGAAUGUGCUUAUUUUUCCAUACCACAUCCAGCAUUUGUCCAUUUUCUUUAUGACAUGUUAACCAAACUGAUGGAUGCAAGGUGAUACCUCAGAGUUGUUUUAAUUUGCAUUUCUCUAAUCAAUCAAAUAUAAUCAAAUACAGAACAUUUUUAUAUGUGAUUAUUGAUAACUUUGAUUUCUUCUGAAAACUACCUAUUCAUAUCCUUUUAUCAUUUAUCAAAUGGGGAAUGGAUCUUUUUUUAAAAAAAAAAUAAAUUUGGCUAUGUUCUCUAUGUAUUUGAGAAAUGAAAAGGUCAUUGCCUUCCUUUUAAUCUUGGCCAUAUUGGUUUUAUUUGUGGGGAAAAAAGCUUUUUAAAUUUCAUGUGAUCAAAAUAAUACAUUUUCCUUCCCAUCAUUUUCUCUAUCUCCUGUGUGAUCAUAAGCUCUUUCAUUAUUCACUGAUCUAACAAGCAAAUUUUUCCAUACUCCCCUAAUUUACUUAUGAUAUCAACAUUUAUAUCCAAAUUAUUAACACCUUUUGGCCUUACUUUGGUACACAGUGUGGUAUGUUGAUCUAUGUUUAGUUUCUGUCAAGCUCCUUUUCAGUUUUUCCCAUAAAUGAUGCAACAGAUUCUAGAGGGUUUAGAAUUUUUAGAAAGAGGAAAGAAAAUGGAGUCACUAAGUGCAGAUGGUUUUCUCAAGAUAUUUAAUCACGCUGAGUAAAAUGAGUAGAACCAGGAGAUCAUUAUACACUUCAACAAUGAUACUGUAUGAGGAUGUAUUCUGAUGGAAGUGGAUUUUUUUGACAAAGAGACCUAACUCAGUUUCAAUUGAUAAAUGAUGGACAGAAGCAGCUACACCCAAAGAAAGAACACUGGGAAAUGAAUGUAAACUAUUUGCAUUUUUGUUUUUCUUCCUGGGUUAUUUUUACCUUCUGAAUCCAAUUCUCCCUGUGCAACAAGAGAACUGUUCGGUUCUGCAAACAUAUAUUGUAUCUGGGAUAUACUGCAACAUAUUUAAUAUAUAUAGGACAGCUUGCCAUCUAGGGGAGAGGGGAGAGGGAGGGAGGGGAAAAAUUGGAACAGAACCGAGUGCAAGAGAUAAUGUUGUAAAAAAAAAUUACCCUGGUAAUGGGUUCUGUCAAUAAAAAGUUAUUAUAAAAUAAAAUUUAAAAAAAAAGAAAAAAAAGAAUAGUGCUUAGCAUAUAAUAGGUAUUUGAUAUGUUUAUUGACUUGACUUGUUAAUUUGAAGACCAGUUUGAAUUAUUAUGAUCAGGAAUGUAUAGCAGUGAUGUAAAAUUAAAAUAGAAACAGGGUCAUUAAUCCAUACAUAAGGAUCUCUGUGGGCAACAUAUUAAAUGAGCUCUUAAAUGUUAAAAAAAAAAAAAAAGAUAUUUAAUCACAAAGAGGGGAUAAGAUAUUGUACCAUAGUUAGAAGAGAUCACUUCUAUCCCUUCUAAGAAAUCAAGGAAUUAAAUGAGUUUUUAAGGAUGGGGAGACAGGAACAUGUUUGUAAGUAGCAGAGAAACACAGGGAGAGCCAGAAGAGAAAAAAGUAAGGCUGAUGAGGGAGACAAUCUACUAUAAAAGAUGAGAUAAGAAAGGAUCAAGCCUCUUUCCUUUCCUUUUUUCUCCUCUCCUUUCAGUUCUUCACAUGUGCAAAGAGAACCAGAAAAGAAUCAUAUAAAAAUAGAGAGAGGAGAAAAUUUAAGCUGUCCAGAAACUUGGCUAUUCCUUUAUUCUUUGAAGGUUUACAGUAAUACAAUAUUAGUGCUCCUAGGAGUCCUAUGCAGCUAUUUUACAAAAGGCAAAAUUAAAAAUGUUAGCUUUUAAUAAAAUACAUUGAAAUAUAUCACAAUAGUAAAUUGGUUAAACUUAUUUUCAUUCAAGCAUUGUUGAAAAAUCCCAUUUUUAAGGAGGAAAAAAAAUCCAUAUAGAGCACCUUAUCUUGGAUCUAUGGAAGCUUUGCGAUCAGAGAACUUAGCAAGUAUGGAAAGAUAAUUCACUGAUGGAGUAGACAAAUUUAUUUCUUGCAGACUGGCCUGGCUUAGUAUUUUGUCACAAAAUUAGUCAUAAAGUGCAGAGUAUUUUAGAUAUUUGUUCAGUUAUGAUCCUAUUCUUGAUUCCAUUGACCAUACUAUUCAUGAAGGUCUUCUUGAAAUGUACUAGAAUAGUUUUUCAUUUUCUUCUCCAGUGGAUUAAGACAAAUUAAAGUUAAAUGAAUUGCUCUUCCCUACUCCAGGCCUAACCCUCUAAUCACUGAAUCAUCUAACUGUCCCAAAGACCAUUUCCUAAAUUAUAAAUAGAUUAAUACCUAGUAAAAAAGUAUUUUCCCUAACAAAACUACAGAUCCUUGAAAUGUUGAAGUAUGAACUUCUUCAAUCAUUACAACCCUUAUAAAAUAAACAAUCUAAAAUUCAAAGUUGAAAAAGAUUUCACAAGAUA
This is an RNA transcript of Antechinus flavipes (yellow-footed antechinus), 5011 nucleotides long. It is a transcript of the gene named solute carrier family 25 member 48, with no coding region annotated. NCBI's taxonomy places the organism in Eukaryota, Metazoa, Chordata, Mammalia, Dasyuromorphia, Dasyuridae. The record is from RefSeq and is a predicted model, not a curated record. The transcript has 9 exons.